AUUGAACGCUGGCGGAAUGCUUUACACAUGCAAGUCGAACGGUAGAGGGGGCAACCCCUCGAGAGUGGCGAACGGGUGAGUAAUAUAUCGGAACGUGCCCAGUCGUGGGGGAUAACGUAGCGAAAGUUACGCAAAUACCGCAUACGAUCUAAGGAUGAAAGCGGGGGAUCGCAAGACCUCGCGCAAUUGGAGCGGCCGAUAUCAGAUUAGGUAGUUGGUGGGGUAAAGGCUAACCAAGCCAACGAUCUGUAGCUGGUCUGAGAGGACGACCAGCCACACUGGAACAUAGACACGGUCCAGACUCCUUCGGGAGGCAGCAGUGGGGAAUUUUGUACAAUGGACGCAAGUCUGAUCCAGCCAUUCCACGUGCAGGAUGAAGGCCCUCGGGGUGUAAACUGCUUUUGUACGGAACGGAAAGGUCUCUCUUAAUACGGGGGGCUCAUGACGGUACCGUAAGAAUAAGCACCGGCUAACUACGUGCCAGCCGCCGCCGUAA
RNAcentral lists this ribosomal RNA (496 nucleotides) under uncultured bacterium. RNAcentral's name for it is "partial 16S ribosomal RNA". It matches the Rfam family "Bacterial small subunit ribosomal RNA", at positions 30 to 523 of the family's 1533-position model. The record is from RNAcentral.